RNAcentral lists this ribosomal RNA (330 nucleotides) under uncultured eukaryote. Its description in RNAcentral is "partial 18S ribosomal RNA". It matches the Rfam family "Eukaryotic small subunit ribosomal RNA", at positions 1470 to 1796 of the family's 1831-position model. The record is from RNAcentral.
CCCUUAGACGUCCUGGGCCGCACGCGCGCUACAAUGACUCAUGCAACAAGUUCUUCCAAACUCGAAAGAGGUCAGGAAAUCUUUAUAAUGUGAGUCGUACUAGUAGGGAUUGAUCUUUGCAAUUCUGGAUCAUGAACGAGGAAUUCCUAGUAAGCAUAAGUCAUCAACUUGUGCUGAUUACGUCCCUGCCCUUUGUACACACCGCCCGUCGCUCCUACCGAUUGAGUGGUCCGGUGAGGCUUUGGGAUCUGAGCGGAAAGAGCGUUUCGCUGUUUCUGCUCGGAAAACUCAGUCGAACCUUAUCAUUUAGAGGAAGGAGAAGUCGUAACA